AAUAGAUACCCCGGUAGUCCACGCCGUAAACGGUGGGAACUAGGUGUUGGCGACAUUCCACGUCGUCGGUGCCGCAGCUAACGCAUUAAGUUCCCCGCCGUGGGGAGUACGGCCGCAAGGCUAAAACUCAAAGGAAUUGGACGGGGGCCCGCACAAGCAGCGGAGCAUGUGGCUUAAUUCGACGCAACGCGAAGAACCUUACCAAGGCUUGACAUACACCGGAAAGCAUUAGAGAUAGUGCCCCCCUUGUGGUCGGUGUACAGGUGGUGCAUGGCUGUCGUCAGCUCGUGUCGUGAGAUGUUGGGUUAAGUCCCGCAACGAGCGCAACCCUUGUCCUGUGUUGCCAGCGUGCCCUUCGGGGUGACGGGGACUCACAGGAGACCGCCGGGGUCAACUCGGAGGAAGGUGGGGACGACGUCAAGUCAUCAUGCCCCUUAUGUCUUGGGCUGCACACGUGCUACAAUGGCAGGUACAAUGAGCUGCGAUACCGUGAGGUGGAGCGAAUCUCAAAAAGCCUGUCUCAGUUCGGAUUGGGGU
Molecule: ribosomal RNA, 537 nt
Filed under: uncultured bacterium
Lineage: Bacteria
Description: bacterial SSU rRNA
Rfam family: Bacterial small subunit ribosomal RNA
Source: RNAcentral